AGGUACAUGAAAAAAUAGUCAAGAAAUACGCAUUAUCAAAGAUUACUCCAUAAGUUGUAAUCAGAUCUCGAUGAAAUAUGACCACAUGAUAAACAUCGGCUUUCGAUUAGGUUAAAAACAUCAAAAUCAGUACACCCAAUAGUAUGUUAAGUAUUAUGUAGUUAAUGUAAAGUUAUGCGGAUGCUACCACACCAGGGAUAUCUCCUUUCCACCAAAAAAAGAAUUAUCAAAAUCUUUUCAUAAACGGCG
This 249-nucleotide unclassified non-coding RNA is filed under the name Melitaea cinxia (Glanville fritillary). Its description in RNAcentral is "misc RNA ENSMCXG00005002346.1". The record is from RNAcentral. Lineage: Eukaryota; Metazoa; Arthropoda; Insecta; Lepidoptera; Nymphalidae.